Non-coding RNA from Anas platyrhynchos (mallard), 543 nucleotides. The record is from RefSeq and is a predicted model, not a curated record. Lineage: Eukaryota; Metazoa; Chordata; Aves; Anseriformes; Anatidae.
GAGCCAUCAGGAUUGGCUCAUCUGCUCAGAUCCUUUGCCUCCUGACCACCUGCAGGUAGAUGCAUGCGAGGACUUUGAAGACAGCUAAUCUGAGCGACAUCAGCACAUACCAUUCUUAUAGCCCUGCUGUUUGUUCUUUCUGGCACCUCCACGCCCAGGCAUUCCCAUUCAUACCUACCCUAGCACUACAAUUCUCCAAAAUUUCAGUGACCACCAACCAUGGAAGAGAAGGGCAGAAAUGGUAAUCCUUUGUGGAAUGAAGCACAGAAACUGGCUUACUGCACAGCAGAACUACACAGUAUUUUAAGGCUUGUUCACAGAUACUGUACUUACCACACAGGAAACUUUUCGAAUGCCAUUUACAGCAACAUACUGAGCUUUCAUAUUCUCCAGCACUCUCCACUGGUUCUCCAAGAAGACGGUGCGUGUGGGUAUCUCACCACUCUGCUCCUCCAGUCUGCAAGAAGAGAAGCACAGAACUAGUACAAAGGAAAUUCCAGUAAAAAAAUAAUAAUAAUAAUAAAAAAAUUCUCUGUGAAUCCC